CCUAGAAGAGAGAAUAGCUACAGAUUCUCCAUCCUCAGUCUCUGCAAAGGGACGGCUGUGCCAGCCGUGCUCGGGCAGGCUCCUGGCAGCAUGGCAGAGAAGCUCGGGGCGCUCCUGCUGGCCCUUGUUCUCAGCCUGGCACAGCCAGCCCCGGCCUGCCGGAAGCUCCUGGUGUUUCUGCUGGAUGGUUUUCGCUCUGACUACAUCAGUGAUGAGGUCCUGGAGUCCUUGCCUGGUUUCAGGGAGAUUGUGAGCAGGGGGGUGAAAGCGGAUUACUUGACCCCAGACUUUCCCAGUCUCUCGUACCCCAAUUACUACAGCCUAAUGACUGGUCGCCAUUGUGAGGUCCAUCAGAUGAUCGGGAACUAUAUGUGGGACCCCGCCACCAACAAGUCAUUUGACAUAGGGGUCAACAGAGACAGCCUGAUGCCUCUCUGGUGGAAUGGAUCAGAACCUCUGUGGAUCACUCUGACCAAGGCCAAAAGGAAGGUCUACAUGUACUACUGGCCAGGCUGUGAGGUUGAGAUUCUUGGUGUCAGACCUACUUACUGCCUAGAAUAUAAAAAUGUCCCAACGGAUAUCAAUUUUGCCAAUGCAGUCAGCGAUGCUCUUGACUUCUUCAAGAGCGGCCAGGCGGACCUGGUGGCCAUCUACUACGAGCGCAUCGAUGUGGAAGGCCACCACUAUGGGCCCUCGUCGCCACAGAGGAAAGAAGCCCUGAGGGCCGUGGACACCGUCCUGAAGUACAUGACCACGUGGAUCCAGGAGCGCGAGCUGCAGGACGACCUCAACGUCAUCAUCUUCUCAGAUCACGGGAUGACUGACAUUUUCUGGAUGGACAAAGUGAUUGAGCUGGAUAAGUACAUCAGCCUCCAUGACCUGCAGCAGGUGAAGGACCGAGGGCCGGUUGUGAGCCUGUGGCCGGCGCCCGGGAAGCAUUCUGAGAUAUAUAACAAAUUGAGAACAGUGGAGCACAUGACUGUCUACAAGAAGGAGGCCAUCCCGAGCAGGUUCUACUACAAGAAGGGGAAAUUUGUCUCUCCUUUGACCUUAGUGGCCGAUGAAGGAUGGUUCAUAACUGAGAAUCGAGAGACGCUUCCAUUCUGGAUGAACAGCACUGACAAGAGGCAAGGCUGGCAGCGCGGAUGGCACGGAUACGACAACGAGCUCAGGGACAUGCGGGGCAUCUUCCUGGCCUUCGGACCCGAUUUCAAAUCCAACUUCAGAGCCGCUCCCAUCAGAUCCGUGGAUGUCUACAACGUCAUGUGCAACGUGGCAGGCGUCGCCCCCCUGCCCAACAACGGGUCCUGGUCCCGGGUGACAUGCAUGCUGAAGGACCCGGCCAGCUCGGCCCUGGCUGCGCGGCCGGGCGCCUGCACGUUGGCCUUGGCGCUGCUGGCGCUGCUGUCCUGAACUGCUAGCGCGGUGUGUGCCGUGCCCCACGGGGGAGGCCUGGCCGUCUCCUGUUUCACUAAUAGCUUCGUCAGUUCAGUCAAGGCCAUACAAUUGUAAAUGUAUUAGUCUUGGAUGGUUCUAUACAUAAAAGUCCCUAUUUCUUAAAAAAACAAAAACAAAACCACUUUGCUUUUUCUGGAGGUAAGGAAACUCCUAGCUUUUCAUUUGUUCAACUAUAGGUUAUUUUCUCCUUGCGUUCCAGGUACUCAGAUGAACUAAGCAGGGCCUCCCCGUGUAGCGACCAGACCUUGGGCGGGUAUUCCAUAGAAUCCCGGCCCCUCUCUGGCCUGCUCUGCACAAAGCAGGCCCUUGUCUGUGCCCUGCCUAAACCCGGGAGCCACCCUCAGGGUCUACGGCCACCAUCCCAUACUGCUCCUUCCGUCUGGGACAAAGGAGGCCCAUGUGAAGCAGUAGCUGCUAUUUCUAACUCAGCUCGUGGGGUUUCUUCACCUUAUACAAAGUCCCAGAAAGGGCAUAUCUGAGCUUGGCUCACCCAGCAAUAAAAAUCAAUGGGAACUGCAGAAUUCAUGGAACAAAUUGAAAGACAUGCGUUCCUUCCCGAAGUCCGAGUGCACGAAAGUUUCUCCCUGCCUGAAGGAGCAGAAGAGUUUCCAAUAGAUACGGGCUUCUGUGAGCCUCCUUGUAGCGUAUCGUGGUGUGAACAUGCACACGGCAGGCGCUGGAUUGCCUGUGGGAAGGCUCACUCAGAGGCUGCCUCUCUUUGGAAACCCGUACAGAGUGUAGACACUAGCGACCCCUGACAUCAUCACGGGCGGGGAAAGGGGUGUCUGGCUGAUGAUGGUGUGGACAUACUUAAAGAAAUCUCACGUCAUUGCUUGAAAUGGUGAUGCAAUUAAGCGUAAGUUUGAUGCACCAGUGUCCUGGAGCACUGCUUAUUCAACAACCACAGCAAAGUGGACCCCUGAGUGACCCAGAAUUCCAAGGAAAAUGGUGGGGCACAGGGAAUGGCGGCCACAUGAUGGAGUCAAAUCCCAGUCACUAACCACUUAGCCACUGGAUUAGGAAACAGUCUGGUCAAAGCGCCACCUCAGAGACCUUAAGAAACCCCGAAGAAGAGGCACUGAGCCUGAGAUGAAAUGUUUUUAGUUUAGUCUUCUAAGUUUGCUGUAGGAGCUCUUGUUGCAAAACAAGGGAUAACUGCAUUUCUAUAUGAUCAGAGUCAUAUACAUAUAUCAUCGCAUUAAAAAUGAGUUUGCACUAAACGAGGCACAUCUGCAAAUGAGGCUUUUUGUCAGGAAAGGGCAAAAGAUCAGGUCUCGUCAGGACGAUGAAGCCCUCAUGUGUUGUUUACCUUGAAAAAUGAAAAUGUAUGCUCCCCCUGAUUCAACAAGGUUGGGAACCGUUCCUGGGCCUUGAAUCACGAGAGCAAAGGAUCACUGCUUAAAAAUAUCAAAUUUACCUUCACAGAAGAUUUCUAAGGAUUUAUGUAAUGGGUUUUAAAGUGCCAGCAGACCAUCGAAUCACCUGGGAGGGAAAUCAGCCUUUGUGCCCUGGCCGGAAGCCAAUUAGUGCUUUCGGAACAUUGGCGCUGGUUGUUGCAAUAGGCAUCUAUUGUUCACAGGUUUCUUUCUCCUUAAAGGACUGGGUUCUAAUGAGUCCAGUGCAGCCCACUGUGCUCCCUUGUGAAGGAAGGAGACCUAAAAGAAACCCAGUGAUCCCACAGGGGUAUAAACAGACACACAGCCUCGGGUUUGUCCUUCCUGCCCUGUUCUACCAAUUUUUCCCCUCCCUCGUCCUUCACAUCUUCAAGUUCCAUAAUAAAAUUUCAGAUAUUCGUCUGACAAAGUAUAGUUGCUCAAUAAGUAAUCUUGAAUAGAUAAAUGAGAAUAAGGUACUUUUGGAAUCAUGACUAUUGGUAAAUAAUAAAGAAAAUUCAGACACUGAAUGGAGAAAAAACCUUUUUACCUAAAGCAAUGCAUAUAUUUUAGUGGCUUAAUUAUAUGGCUAGAAUUUUUUCUUUUGAUGUUUUUUUAAAGGUAUGUUAUUUUCCCAAGGAAAGUUCUACUUCCUCUAAACGCAUUUUGUCCCAUCGGAACAAUACCCGCUAGGACGAUACACGCACCUUGUCUCCUGGAUUAUUUUCCCACUUCAUCGCUAAUUCCAGGAGGAAGCUUGGAAGAGACAGAAGAAGGGGGUUCAGAGCCUUGGAUGCUAAAAACGUAGCAUGUGGAGAAGGAGGAAGAGUCCCAGUCACCGGCUCCCUCCCUCCCAUGCCUUCUGAGUCUGAUCUGCCUUUGCUACUGAGAAGUGAGGAGUGGAUGACAGGAGGAAGUGGAGAAAAGCCUUCAAAGGGAGGAAAGUGGUGUUUAUGAAAUCCCCUUCCUGGAAGAGCUGUGUUUCCACCCCUGCCCUUCUGCUACUCAGGAAAGUCUGGCCUCAGUGUGGUGUCAGCAGGACAGGCAGGAGCUGAAUUUCCACCAUAUUCCAGAACCAGGUGGUGUUCAGAAGGACCCCUCCACUCCCACAGUGGCAUCUGGAGGGGAUGGGGGCAGUCUGUCCACUAGAAGCCCUUGAAACUGACCAGUCAGGUCGCAAUGCUGGGACAAGACCCUAAACUGAGGAGACUCUGCCGAAAGUUAAAUCAAAAUCCAGCAAGAUAGGGACAAUAGAGACGAAAGAAAGAGAAGGUCCAGAUAAGCAUGGCAGAAAAAAAGAGAGCCAGGAAUUUCUAGCCAGAAAUGUCAUAUUUUUGAAUACUACAUGAAAACAACAGAAGAAGAUACCGUAUAAGAUCAGAAAGACUAUCCUGCACCACAUCUCCUUCUAAAGUUUAGAAAAAUUAAUUUCAAAUAAAAAUGUAAAAAGUAUUCAAGUCAAAUUCCAUAUUAAGAUACUAUUUUUAAAUGAUAAUAAGGAGCAGAAUAGUAGUCCAACAGUCAGUGAAAUCGUGCCAGAAAGACCUGAUCACAAAGCGGACUGAAACCAUGACUUACUAUUUCAAGAUGAGCCAAAAUACAUUAAGAAAACAAUAUGAAAGAACAACAUAAAUCAAAUUAUAAGAAGGCAGAAAGGGUUGAACUCAAGAACGAAUAAGAUAUAAAAAUAAUUUCAGAAAUAAAAUCUAAGCUAGAUGGACCAGAGAGUUAAUAAUCACAACAGAUAAUGCCUUAGGAGGAAUAUAAGGUAAAAGAGAGGGUUAAAAAAUCAAAAUUAAGAGAUUAAAAAAAAAGACUCAAGAGAAAGUGACAAAUACUGAAGACAAGUAAAGAACACUGAAUAUACAGUAACACGAAUCCAAGAAGAAGAAAACCAAAGCAAAGGAAUAGAAUAAAUAUUAAAACUGUAAUGCAAGGAAACUUUUUUGAAAUUAAAAAGAAAAAAGUUAACACUAUAUACUGAAAGAAUACUUCACAUAUCUGAGACUGUCAACCAGAACCACUAAUAUCAAACCCACAAAUUACUGGAUUUUAAGACCAAGAAAAAAUCCUUUGGGCAUCUAAGCAAAAAGAGGAAGUGAUUUAUAAUAAAAAUGCCUUUUUCAACACAAUAGGACAGAAGAAAAUGGACUAACAUAUUUGAGAUACUAAUGAAAAGAAAAUGCAAGUCAAGGAUUUUUAUAUCCAGCAAAACUGACUUUCAAGUAUGAAAGGUUCAAAUUGUUAUCAAUAGGAAAGAAUUUAGGAAAUACUGUGCCCACGAGUCUUUUCUGAUGAAUCUAUUAGAGCACAAGCUUCAGACAAUCAAACUGACCAGGGACACAUGGACAUAAGGCCUAGUGAUGAACAUGAAAUAAACAGUUAUUACAGAACAAGGGAGAGAGGGCACUGUGCAGUGUCUAUGUGCUUUGGCAAUGUAGAUAUGGUAUAACUUUUUAAGUGGAGGGAAGAUAAAUGGGGAGAGACUUUGCAAAAAAAAAAAAUUAACUCUUGUCAGUAGUCUUACUGGUGGUGGGAAUAUCUGUACUCUUGUCCUGAGACUAUUGUGUAAGUAAUGUAAAGCAUGAGAGUUAAUAUGGGAUAUUCUAAUUAUAUCAUUCCUGUGUCAUUGAGAACCAGGAUUUGCAGAGUGGAAGAAAAGAGAUGCAGAUAUAAACUGGAAGAGGGUAAAAAAACUCCUAUGUCCUGAACUUGAAUUAGAAAUAUCAUUGUACAACAUGGGGAAUAUAUCCCAUUUUUAUAAUGACUAUAAAUGCAGUAUAACCUUUAAAAAUUAUGAAUCACUAUAUUGUACACCUGUAACAUAUAAUA
RNA transcript from Globicephala melas (long-finned pilot whale), 5663 nucleotides. It is a transcript of the gene named ectonucleotide pyrophosphatase/phosphodiesterase 6, with no coding region annotated. The record is from RefSeq and is a predicted model, not a curated record. NCBI's taxonomy places the organism in Eukaryota, Metazoa, Chordata, Mammalia, Artiodactyla, Delphinidae.